RNAcentral lists this ribosomal RNA (396 nucleotides) under uncultured bacterium. RNAcentral's name for it is "partial 16S ribosomal RNA". It matches the Rfam family "Bacterial small subunit ribosomal RNA", at positions 523 to 918 of the family's 1533-position model. The record is from RNAcentral.
AUACGUAGGGAGCGAGCGUUGUCCGGAAUUACUGGGUGUAAAGGGAGCGCAGGCGGGGAUGCAAGUUGGAUGUGAAAUACCGCAGCUUAACUGCGGAGCUGCAUCCAAAACUGUAUUUCUUGAGUGAAGUAGAGGUAGGCGGAAUUCCUAGUGUAGCGGUGAAAUGCGUAGAUAUUAGGAGGAACACCAGUGGCGAAGGCGGCCUACUGGGCGUUAACUGACGCUGAGGCUCGAAAGUGUGGGGAGCAAACAGGAUUAGAUACCCUGGUAGUCCACACUGUAAACGAUGAUUGCUAGGUGUGGGGGGACUGACCCCUUCCGUGCCGGAGUAAACACAAUAAGCAAUCCACCUGGGGAGUACGACCGCAAGGUUGAAACUCAAAGGAAUUGACGGGG